CAGGGAGACAAAACUGAUCUUGAUGCCUGAGUUUUUCUCAGGCCAUGAUCCUGUCACCUUAGGUCGAUCGGUACCUCAAAUUGAUAGUAACCAAAUUGGUUUAUCCAAGUAUUUUGAUUGCGAUCAAUAUCAGUUCCUAAACAUGUCUGGGUCACACCCAACGAGGGUAAUCCUGGGCCAUUAGCUCAGGUGGUUAGAGCGCACCCCUGAUAAGGGUGAGGUCCCUGGUUCAAGUCCAGGAUGGCCCAUUCGGUGUUGGGGGUAUAGCUCAGUUGGUAGAGCGCCUGCUUUGCAAGCAGGAUGUCAGCGGUUCGAGUCCGCUUACCUCCACUGAUCAACUACCUAAUAGCCGACAUAAGCGGAUUUUCUUUCUUGAUGUGAUUUAGACGUUGUUUUAUUUGAACGAACCUAGCUUCCUAUCAUUCCUCUUUUAAUUAAAUAAUUGGAUAUGGUUGGUAGGAUGCUGGGCUCACUGUAAUUGUACUAAUUGCAGAUGUGUUCAGUAGAACCUUGACAACUGCAUAGGUGAGUCUGGAAAGAAUAAAGCAUCUCAUGGAUGUUCUGUUUUCUAGAGGAAUUAAUUAUUUAUUGCAAUGCAAGAUAGUUAGUUUUAUCGACGAAAUCAGUUGUUAAUUCUUGAGUUAAGAGCCGAGACUCUAUAGGUUAAUGACUAUUAUUUUUAAAGUAUUAGUCAUUAAUAGGGAAUGAUAAUUCCCCGAGCCUAAUAGAGGUAAAUAU
This 738-nucleotide transfer RNA is filed under the name uncultured cyanobacterium. RNAcentral describes it as "partial miscellaneous RNA". The stretch from base 258 to 330 matches the Rfam family "tRNA". The record is from RNAcentral. Lineage: Bacteria; Bacillati; Cyanobacteriota.